CGAAGCUGGAAUCGCUAGUAAUCGCGAAUCAGCAUGUCGCGGGUGAAUACGUUCCCGGGUCUUGUACACACCGCCCGUCACACCAUGGGAGUCAGCAACGCCCGAAGUCAGUGACCUAACCGAGAGGAAGGAGCUGCCGAAGGCGGGGCAGGUAACUGGGGUGAAGUCGUAACAAGGUACC
This 181-nucleotide ribosomal RNA is filed under the name uncultured bacterium. Its description in RNAcentral is "partial 16S ribosomal RNA". It matches the Rfam family "Bacterial small subunit ribosomal RNA", at positions 1321 to 1500 of the family's 1533-position model. The record is from RNAcentral.